This 1458-nucleotide long non-coding RNA is filed under the name Gadus morhua (Atlantic cod). RNAcentral's name for it is "lncRNA (ENSGMOG00000035535.1)". Lineage: Eukaryota; Metazoa; Chordata; Actinopteri; Gadiformes; Gadidae. The record is from RNAcentral.
UUUUUAUUUGAUUUUCUAUUUUCGUUUGCACACACAUGGUUAUCUUGCAAUUUGUAAUAUUGCAUUUAUUUUGUUUAGGCGGACCAGGAAAUGCUAAAACCCUGUCUUUUAUGUUUGCUGACCCAUUGUGCAGGUAACCGAUAAGUUGUUUUAGUUUUAUGUAUGUUUAAAAUCCCACUUGUGGCGUUGCUAGCAUUCGCAGCCUAGAAUGUCUAGCUGGUCCUGCCAUUAUUGUGUUUUACAUGCAAUAACGCCGGUCGCCACAUGAGUGGAGGGUUUAUGCGCGUUGUUUAGCGCGACUCCGUUUACUUAUUUGUGAAUAUAUAUUGUGUGUUUGUGUUAUAUAACACAUUAUAAUGAGGAGAAAAGACAGUAUCUGCUGCAGGCGGACCAGGAAAUGCUCAAACUUUGUCUUUUAUGUUUGCUGACCCAUUGUGCAGGCAUUAAAACCGCUGCACCCAAUGCUAAGCGACCAAGUCCAUGCUUCAAGGAAAAACACAACGCAGUCUGGUGGACAUGGUCUCUGAAGAAGAAAGGAAAGAAAGAAAGACAGAGAGGAGAAAGAAAAUUACAAACAGAAGUAAGGAGAGAAAACUGUGAAAGAUGAAAGAACAGACUGUUGGACCAAUGAAUUACAAUACACUAUCUGUGUGUGUGUAACUAGGUCAAUGCUAUCGGGUCAAUACUGAGAAGCCUACAGCAGUUGAUCACUAAUAAAACACAGAGAGUAACCAACACACUUAUCAUAGUAUAUCUCUCUAUCACACACACACACUCACACUUUUUUCAUUUUCUAUCUCAUCAUCUUUUCUCUCUCUCUUUUUCUGUUUUAAACAUGUCAAAUGCCAAAUGUUCCCCCCACGUCUUCAACUAAUGCUGAACAGUGUAGCGUGAUGUGUGUGUCCUGAGGAUAGGGGUUGAUGUGAUAUGUAUGAUAGUAUGUUAGGAGCAGUUCACCCUCAGAAGAACAAGGUGUUCUUAGGCCCCGUCCACACAAAGCCGAUUUCAUGGCGAAACCGCAAAGGUCUUGUACGGUUCGGCCUUCCGUCCACACAAAGCCGGCGAAUCCGCUGACCGAAACCGCAAACUUCUGAAACCACCCUCGGAGGUGGUUUCAAAUCUAUCCGGUUUCGUUUUGGUUUCGUGUGGACGCCUGAAACCGACUGAAACCGCAAACCAUGACGUCAUCGCCCCACCCCUCGACCUCCUAGCCAAUGGCUCUUAAGCCCGCGGAGUCUCAGAAAUCACAACAAAAAUGAUGAUGGCGGACUACAAGCUUGUAAUCGUUCUGCAGCAUAUCAUGUCCCUUGUUGGGUUGCUAAGCCAUUAUUUAUUGAGAAUCUAGUUCGCCAUCGUAGAAGAGCUGUUUGUUUGUGUUGCUAGUGGUUCGGGGGGCAGCCUUUAUGCGCAUGCUCGCCUCUUCUUCUUCUGGAUUUGUGUACCAGAAGCAGCGCCCCU